CUUUUCCGGGUCUUCACGAGAAGCGAAUUGCGUGUGAAGGGAAAUCCGAGAAGGGAGAAGUAUAAUUGGUACGAGGGAAAGACGAAGAAUUUCGGGAUUUAUUGGAAUUUCUGGAUAAUAGUAAAUCACAUCAAAACAAGAAUGCCUUCAGCAAAAAAUGUAGGUAUUUAAGCAGUUAUACAAGACAUCCUGACUAGUUGUUCAGGGUUGGAUGUGAACAGACAGGUAACAGGUCAGUAUUUUCUCUACCACAUGCCUGUAACACUUCAUCUUUCAAUCUAUUCACUGCAGCUUUUUCCCCCCCCUAACAUGUAAAAGCAUAUUUUCCCCUCCUUGUAUUCUUUGAUGUUAUAUGGCUGGAUGCAGUGAAGAGAUUAAAAGGAGCUUGUACCUGUAAAUGUGGUUUUGAUUAUGGGUUUUACCAGAUUUUUGUGGUGGAUGACAUCUGGGAGUGCUUUAAGCCACGAGAGAAA
Penaeus monodon (black tiger shrimp) is the source of this 473-nucleotide long non-coding RNA. RefSeq lists it as uncharacterized. The record is from RefSeq and is a predicted model, not a curated record. NCBI's taxonomy places the organism in Eukaryota, Metazoa, Arthropoda, Malacostraca, Decapoda, Penaeidae. The transcript has 2 exons.